UUCAAGUGAGGAACUCAGUAAAGGUC
This 26-nucleotide non-coding RNA is filed under the name Rattus norvegicus (Norway rat). Lineage: Eukaryota; Metazoa; Chordata; Mammalia; Rodentia; Muridae. The record is from RNAcentral.